CCUACGGGUGGCUGCAGUGAGGAAUAUUGGUCAAUGGCCGUAAGGCUGAACCAGCCAAGUCGCGUGAAGGAAGAAGGAUCUAUGUUUUGUAAACUUCUUUUAUAGGGGAAUAAAGGUAUCCACGUGUGGAUAUUUGCAUGUACCCUAUGAAUAAGCAUCGGCUAACUCCGUGCCAGCAGCAGCGGUACUAAGGAGGAUGCGAGCGUUAACCGGAUUUAUUGGGUUUAAAGGGUGCGUAGGUUGUUUGUUAAGUCAGCGGUGAAAGUUUGUGGCUCAACCAUAGAAUUGCCGUUGAAACUGGAAGACUUGAGUGUGUUAGAGGUAGGCAGAAUGCGUGGUGUAGCGGUGAAAUGCAUAGAGAUCACGCAGAACUCCGAUUGCGAAGGCAGCUUACUAAGCCAUAACUGACGCUGAAGCGCGAAAGCGUGGGGAUCAAACAGGAUUAGAUACCCCUGUAGUC
Molecule: ribosomal RNA, 460 nt
Filed under: uncultured bacterium
Lineage: Bacteria
Description: partial 16S ribosomal RNA
Rfam family: Bacterial small subunit ribosomal RNA
Source: RNAcentral